Molecule: long non-coding RNA, 1350 nt
Organism: Dicentrarchus labrax (European seabass)
Lineage: Eukaryota; Metazoa; Chordata; Actinopteri; Moronidae
Exons: 2
Source: RefSeq, a predicted model, not a curated record
UCAAGGAGGGGCUUUGAAUUUUGAGUGUGCUAAUUAUGUAGAGAUUUUCCCACAAUGCAAUGCGCAGAGAAAAAAAAAGGAGAGAAUGUAUGUAAACAAAAAACAAAGGGUGGUAAGACAACCUCUGGGAACAUUUUGAGACAAAUCGAGUGCUUAGAAAAACAUCUUUUUUUUCCUCUUAUUUUCUCCCAGUGGGUCCCCAUUUUGUCGAGGUCACGCAGGCACCGCCAGCAAAUGAACAUGGAUGUAAACAAAGACAGGGUUAUAAUGUUUUAUGAGGAAGGAAAUGUUUACAGGUAUAUAUGUUAGACCUUGAGGACAUAUAGUAUGCUAGUAUUAUGGGGUUUGAAAAGACUUUGAGAGACGGCGGAGAGCUGAAGCAGGUUGAGGGAAAGCGAGUAAAAGAAAAUGAGGAAUACCACUUUCUACCCACUGAGUGCAGUACAACACCAAGAUUGCACUAGAGUAGGGAUGGAGCAUAAAGCCCAUUAACUCUCACUGCAGUUUUCAAUGAGUAAAUAUGAAAAGUCUGAAUCCAGUAUGAGAAUAUCUACAACAACGAAUGACACCUACCGAGUACUCAGCUCAAUGUUGAGUACAAAAAGUCCACAAUCUUUACACAGCCAUACUGACAUUAUUAAACGCACCACAAGGAGUUUUUUAACUGGUUAUGAAACAGUCUCAAUGUAAUACUGAUGCCUCUAUAUGACCUACAUAAACAAACAAGAGAAGAUUGGCAAUUUCUAUACAGUUAUCCUUAAUGCCUGCCAACGGGUCAGAUUCGGUUGGAUUCCCUUUGACAAAGAAACUCACUUUGUUACGGGCACAUUAUUCUGUCUGCAUUGGCAAUUAUUUUUGGCAGCAGACAUAAAUUGUGCACUGCAGAAUCAUUCCAUCAGCUCCCAAGGUAAUUAAAUCUCAUUUUUGCAGUGCAGGAAAUACUUCUGCCUGUGAGGCGACAUUUGAGACUGUAAUGGAAAAUCUAAAUACACUAUAAUACACUAUAUGUAACCUCGUGCUUAUGAACUACUGUGUGUGCAAAAUGUCUAGCUGUUCCAAGGUUGCUCUCAGCACCUGGUAAUUUUCCCACACGAUAAAGACUAACAGUCAACCUGUGGUUACAAUGUCUCUGUUAUUGAGGGAGGAGAGGCUGAACCCGGUGGAGACUGGCUCCAGGCAUCUCCUAUGAAUACAAGGUCAUGAUGCUCGUUAGCAUGACUAGCUGUUACCUACUUUGUACCUCCUGUUUUUGCUUCUUCAGUAAAUGAGGGUGCAGCCCUGAGAAGAGAGACCUUUUCAUGCUGUCAAGCUGAGAGGCUCGCUCUGCGCAGAGCUACACCCGGGGAAAAA